Molecule: small nuclear RNA, 189 nt
Organism: Pristis pectinata (smalltooth sawfish)
Lineage: Eukaryota; Metazoa; Chordata; Chondrichthyes; Rhinopristiformes; Pristidae
Product: U2 spliceosomal RNA
Exons: 1
Source: RefSeq, a predicted model, not a curated record
CUCGCUUCUCAGCCUUUUGGCUAUGAUCAAGUAGUAUCUGUUCUUAUCAGUUUAGUAUCUGAUAUGUCCCUGAUCUGGGGACCAUAUAUUAAAUUGAUUUUUGGAACAGGGAGAUGGAAUAGGGGCUUGCUCCGUCCACUCCAUGCAUUGACCUGGUAUUGCAGUGCCUCUGGGAAUGGUACACUUCCC